GCCUGGGUGGCUCAGUCGGUUGAGCAUCUGACUUCGACUCAGGUCAUGAUCCCGUGGUUCAUGAGUUCAAGCCUCAUGUCGGGCU
RNAcentral lists this transfer RNA (85 nucleotides) under Felis catus (domestic cat). It matches the Rfam family "tRNA". Rfam says of the family: Transfer RNA (tRNA) molecules are approximately 80 nucleotides in length. Their secondary structure includes four short double-helical elements and three loops (D, anti-codon, and T loops). Further hydrogen bonds mediate the characteristic L-shaped molecular structure. tRNAs have two regions of fundamental functional importance: the anti-codon, which is responsible for specific mRNA codon recognition, and the 3' end, to which the tRNAs corresponding amino acid is attached (by aminoacyl-tRNA synthetases). tRNAs cope with the degeneracy of the genetic code in two manners: having more than one tRNA (with a specific anti-codon) for a particular amino acid; and 'wobble' base-pairing, i.e. permitting non-standard base-pairing at the 3rd anti-codon position. RNAcentral also lists the same sequence under 3 other names. The record is from Rfam by way of RNAcentral. Lineage: Eukaryota; Metazoa; Chordata; Mammalia; Carnivora; Felidae.